AGAGUUUGAUCCUGGCUCAGGAUGAACGCUGGCGGCGUGCCUAAUACAUGCAAGUCGAGCGGGGUCCCUCGGGACCCAGCGGCGAACGGGUGAGUAACACAUGGGCAACCUGCCCCUACGCCGGGGACAACAGACGGAAACGUCUGCUGAUACCGGAUAGUGGCGCCUGAGGCAUCUCGGGCGUCUGAAAGGAGCUACGGCUCCGCGGAGGGAUGGGCCCAUGGCGCAUUAGCUGGUUGGCGGGGCAGCGGCCCACCAAGGCGACGAUGCGUAGCCGGCCUGAGAGGGUGAACGGCCACAUUGGGACUGAGACACGGCCCAGACUCCUACGGGAGGCAGCAGUAGGGAAUUUUCGGCAAUGGGCGGAAGCCUGACCGAGCAACGCCGCGUGAGGGAGGAAGGCCUUCGGGUUGUAAACCUCUGUUGGAAGGGAAGAACGUGGUGCGCAGGGAAUGGCGCGCCAGUGACGGUACCUUCCGAGGAAGCCACGGCUAACUACGUGCCAGCAGCCGCGGUAAUACGUAGGUGGCGAGCGUUAUCCGGAUUUAUUGGGCGUAAAGGGUGCGCAGGCGGCGGACUAAGUCCGAGGUGAAAGAACGGGGCUCAACCCCGUCAAGCCUCGGAAACUGGUCUGCUAGAGUGCAGGAGAGGUUGGCGGAAUUCCAUGUGUAGCGGUAAAAUGCGUAGAUAUAUGGAGGAACACCGGUGGCGAAGGCGGCCAACUGGCCUGUAACUGACGCUGAGGCACGAAAGCGUGGGGAGCAAACAGGAUUAGAUACCCUGGUAGUCCACACCGUAAACGAUGAGUGCUAAGUGUUUGAGGGUUCCGCCCCUAAGUGCCGCAGCCUCACACAUUAAGCACUCCGCCUGGGGAGUACAACCGGCAGGGUGGAAACCCAAGGAAAUUGACGGGGACCCGCACAAGCGGUGGAGCAUCUGGUUUAAUUUGAAGCAACGCGAAGAACCUUACCAGGUCUUGACAUCCCUUGACAACUCCAGAGAUGGAGCGUUCCCUUCGGGGACAAGGUGACAGGCGGUGCAUGGUUGUCGUCAGCUCGUGUCGUGAGAUGUUGGGUUAAGUCCCGCAACGAGCGCAACCCUUAUUACUAGUUGCCAGCAUUCAGUUGGGCACUCUAGUGAGACUGCCGGUGACAAACCGGAGGAAGGUGGGGAUGACGUCAAAUCAUCAUGCCCCUUAUGACCUGGGCUACACACGUGCUACAAUGGCGUAUACAACGAGUUGCCAACCCGCGAGGGUGAGCUAAUCUCUUAAAGUACGUCUCAGUUCGGAUUGUAGGCUGCAACUCGCCUACAUGAAGUCGGAAUCGCUAGUAAUCGCGGAUCAGCACGCCGCGGUGGAUACGUUCCCGGGUCUUGCACACAACGCCCGUCA
RNAcentral lists this ribosomal RNA (1393 nucleotides) under uncultured bacterium. RNAcentral describes it as "partial 16S ribosomal RNA". It matches the Rfam family "Bacterial small subunit ribosomal RNA". The record is from RNAcentral.